Molecule: RNA transcript, 5138 nt
Organism: Globicephala melas (long-finned pilot whale)
Lineage: Eukaryota; Metazoa; Chordata; Mammalia; Artiodactyla; Delphinidae
Gene: CALD1
Gene name: caldesmon 1
Source: RefSeq, a predicted model, not a curated record
GGAAGUGGAGGCCUCCCGCUCCACACAGGAAACAAUCUUCAAGCAGGCCUUAAAUGCCAGAUUCCAGGCCGAGUUUAACUAACCACUGACAGCUCUGUAAACAAAGCAAGGACAAAAAGAGCCCGCUUCCCCUUUUCUGGUAGUCAUUUUGGGUUUGGGGGCUGCAGGGGAAUUCUGGAAUACUUGACUCCAUGGCACAGAAACGCAGGAAAAGCGGAAUCCUCAGUUGAAGAGCUGGAAAGGGAAGAUCUUUCUGGGAUUAAAACUAUCACGGAGGAGAUCCAGAUAUUAUCUGGUCUCCCUAAAUCUGAACCCAUACCAUGGACGAUUUUGAACGUCGCAGAGAACUUAGGAGGCAAAAGCGGGAAGAGAUGCGUCUGGAAGCAGAAAGAAUCGCCUACCAGCGGAACGACGAUGAUGAGGAAGAGGCCGCCCGGGAACGGCGCCGCCGUGCCCGGCAGGAAAGGCUGCGGCAGAAGCAAGAGGAAGAAUCCUUGGGACAGGUGACUGACCAAGUGGAGGUCAAUACCCAGAACAGUGUGCCCGACGAGGAGGUCAAGACGACCACCACAGACACUCAGGUGGAGGCCGACGAUGAGGCUGCACUCCUGGAGCGCCUGGCCCGGCGGGAGGAAAGACGCCAGAAACGCCUCCAGGAAGCACUGGAGCGCCAAAAGGAUUCUGACCCAACAAUAGCAGAUGCAAGUUUGUUGCUACCCAGCAGAAGAAUGCAAAACAACACAGCAGAAAAUGAAAUGGCAGAGAAGGAAGAAAAAAGCGAAAGUCGCCGGGAGAGAUACGAGAUAGAGGAAACAGAAACAGUCACCAAGUCCCACCAGAAGAAUGAUUGGAUGGAUGCUGAAGAGAAAAAGGAAGAAGAAAAAGAAAAGGAGGAAGAAGAGGAAGAGGAGAAGCCAAAGCAAGGGAGCAUUGAAGAAAAUCAGGUAGAGGUGGUGGCAGAAGAGAAAGCAGCAGAAACCCAGGAGGAAACAGUAAUGUCAUUGAAAAAUGGGCAGAUCGGUACAGAUGAGCCUAAGACAGAAGAGGAGAGGGAAAAAGGCUCACAUGAGAUUCCCCAUAAUGAAAAGAUGGAACAGGAAGCAAGGGAAAGAGCUGAGGCAGAAAGGGCCAGGUUGGAAGCAGAAGAAAGAGAGAGAAUUAAAAUCGAGCAAGAACAAAAAAUAGCAGAGGAGAAAGCGAGAAAGGAAGCAGAAGAAAAAGCAGCUGCACAAGAGAGAGAAAGACAGGAGGCAAAGGAGAGGGAAAGGAUUAAGGAGGAGGAGAGAAGGGCAGCAGAGGAGAGGCAGAGGGCAAAGGAGAGGGAAAGGAUUAAGGAGGAGGAGAGAAGGGCAGCAGAGGAGAGGCAGAGGGCAAAGGCAGAGGAAGAAGAGAGAGCUAAGAUAGAAGAGCAAAAACGUAAGAAGCAACUAGAAGAGAAAAAAAGGGAAAUGCAAGAGAAAAAGAUAAAAGGGGAAAAGGUAGAGGAGAAAACAGAAGGGAAGUGGGUCAAUGAAAAGAAAGUACAAGAAGAUAAACUUCAGACAGCUGUCCAAAAGAAACAGGAAGAAGAAAGGGGGGCUAAAAUGCAAGCUAAAAGAGGAAAGUCCCAAGAAGACAAGCCUACCUUCAAAAAAGAAGAGAUCAAAGAUGAGAAGACUAAAAGGGACAAAGAAAGCAAAGAAGUUAAGAGCUUCUUGGAUGGAAAGAAGGGAUUUACAGAAAUGAAGUCGCAGAAUGGAGAAUUCAUGACCCACAAACUUAAACACACUGAGAAUACUUUCAGCCGCCCUGGAGGGAGGGCCAGCGAGGCCAAGGAGGCUGAAGGUGCUUCCCAAGUGGAAGCCGGCAAGCGGCUGGAGGAGCUGCGCCGCCGCCGCGGGGAAACUGAAAGCGAGGAGUUCGAGAAGCUCAAGCAGAAGCAGCAGGAGGCGGCCUUGGAGCUGGAGGAGCUGAAGAAGAAGAGGGAGGAGCGAAGGAAGGUCCUGGAGGAGGAGGGGCAGAGGAGGAAGCAGGAGGAAGCCGAGCGGAGAGUCAGAGAGGAGGAAGAGAAGAGGAGGCUAAAGGAAGAGAUUGAAAGGCGAAGGGCAGAAGCUGCUGAGAAACGCCAAAAGAUGCCAGAAGAUGGCUUAUCAGAUGACAAGAAGCCCUUCAAGUGUUUCACUCCUAAAGGUUCAUCUCUCAAGAUAGAAGAGCGAGCAGAAUUUUUGAAUAAAUCUGUGCAGAAAAGCAGUGGUGUUAAACCAACUCAUCAAGCAGCAGUAGUCUCCAAGAUUGACAGCAGACUGGAGCAAUACACCAGUGCAAUUGAGGGAACAAAAACUGCAAAACCUACGAAGCCAGCAGCCUCGGACCUUCCUGUUCCUGCCGAAGGUGUCCGCAACAUCAAGAGCAUGUGGGAGAAAGGCAAUGUGUUCUCAUCACCCACUGCAUCAGGCACGCCAAAUAAGGAAACAGCUGGCUUAAAGGUGGGGGUCUCCAGCCGCAUCAAUGAAUGGCUUACCAAAACCCCAGAUGGAAACAAGUCACCUGCUCCCAAACCUUCUCUGAAUUUUCUUCUUCAUUCUUUGAUCUCUGGUUGACUGGAAACCUGCUUCCCUGCCUUCAUUUCUCCCUCUUCUUCUGGAGUGGGUCUUUCUCUAAAAUGUAGGCUGGUCAGGAUUUGAGGCCAGGAGACGUAUCUGGCAAGCGGAACCUCUGGGAAAAGCAAUCUGUGGACAAGGUCACUUCCCCCACUAAGCAGGUCUGAGACAGUUCAAGAAAGAACCCAAAGUAGCCGCUCAAGAUGCCGGACCAGCUCAGUUGAAGAGGGCUCAUUUGCUCUGUGUUAUAUUUAUGUUGAUUUACUAAAUUGGGUUCAUUUCCUUUUGUUUUGUUUUUCAUUAUCCCAGUAAACCCAUGUAUAUUAUCACUAUAUUUAAUAAUCACGGUCUAGAGAUGUUCAUGGUAAAAGUAUUGCCUUUGCACAGGAGCCUGUUUCUAAAGAAACCCAUGCUGUGAAAUAGAGACUUUUCUACUGAUCAUCAUAACUCUGUGUCUGAACAGUGAUAGUAACCACAUCGGAAGUCAACAAAAGGAGAUUCAAGUUGAAAAUUGCCUGAGGAAUGUGUGCAGUAUCCAGAAAAAUGAACCAUAGUGUUUUUUUUUGUUUUUUUGUUUUUUAAAUACAGAAAUCAUGUUGUUUCUGCACUUUAGAAUAAAGCAUGGAAGAAAUUAUCUUAGUAGGCAAUUAUAACACUUUGUGAAAGUCACCCACUUCAGAUUUUAGAUACUACAAUAAUGAUUGUCUUUAAAAAAAAAAAAGAUGUACUGUUAAGGUAUUACUUUUUUCAUGCUGAUGAAUAUCUAAAUUGGAUUUUGAUGUUAGCUGACAGUGGUACUGAUUUCUUUAGGUUGGUUGCUUUGUGGAUUUCUUUGGUAGUGAUAGUGAACCACAUUUUAGAUGACGUGAUCAUGUAUGUAUGUGCAUACACAUAUACAAACACACUAAUGGUAGAAAGCUUUUUUAUGUGCUAGGCUAUUAUAUUUAGCAGUAUGUCCCUGUAACUAGCCAAUAUCACUGCUUUUUAAAAAUUAAAAAUCACAAUAUUAUAUUAAUAUUUCAUAUUUGCCAAUAGAAACAUGGCAGAAUAGGUAUCGAUAUGUUUCCAAUGCCCAAUAACCUAUAAGAAAGAGAUUAGAAAUGUCAAAAUGAAUUGACAUUUUCUAUAAAGCAUAGUAUUUAGUUUAUAAUUAAAAGCAGUCUUGAAGUCCAGUGUGAAUUGUACUAAAUCUCAAAGCUUGCUCCAAACUUCAUUCUUAAGAAUCAAGUUCACAAUCGGUUGGCUUAGACGAUGUCUGAGGUCUCUUCCUUCUCUAAAAUUUAAACACGAGAAUUUUAGUGACAAAGUUGUACAGAUUGGAAUUCCAUGAAUAGGUGUACUACGACCAACUUUGGGUAAUCUCUGGAAGCAGAAAAGUAAGCAAAAGCCAAUAUUUAGGAGUCAUGACAGUACUUCCAUUUUUAACUUACCGAAACAUCUUUUUAGUUUACUUUUCUACCUUUAUUAGUCAUUGGCACUUGCCAUAAGUUGAUAAUGUGUUGAACUUUCAAAAAAUAUAUGUAAUUUUUAUUAGUUUUACCUUUUUCCCUAAGAGUCUAUCAACUCGUCAUUUGUACACACCCAAUCCAGGUAUCAGAUCUUAUUUUAGCUAAUAAGCGUUCAUCUAUUCUUCACAAUAGAUGAUAAAAGAGUACUCCAGUGUCUUGGCAAUAUGUUCUAGCAUAGAGAUAUACAUAUAGUGUAGUUCUAUAAACGUAUACCUCAUGACUUACCAAAAUUGUCUUAGUCUCAAUUCCUACACAACGAGGGAGCCUCCCAAAUGACUCUUUUCUAAUCCACAGUGUUCCCCUGGGAGAGCUAGCCAGGGUAGGGCUGGCAUGAGGAGUGACCAGUGCCUUCCAAAGUCCAUUUUCCUCAUAAAUCAGUAGAGUUGUUGAAUCCUCUAGCUUUUAGCACAUCUGGGCCAAAGAAAGUAAAGCCAGCAAUAUUGCAUAAGUCACCCAUCCAUGACAGAGUAGACAUGAGUCUAUGAUAAGAUGAACUAGAAUUCACAUGCAGUGCCUGAGUUGGCAUUGCCUCCCAGCAUUCGAGUGAAAUGGAUCAAAGUUUGAAUUAAGUCCUAUGGCAAGAUAACAUUUCUUUGUUGUACUUUUGAAUAAGAGCCUCUCCUGAUCACUAUUAUAUGUUUUUUUCUAGAAAGUCUAAAUUUAAGAAGAGAAUAUAUCGAUCGAUCCUGACUUUUAUUCCAAUAUUUGGAUGGAAUAAGUUUUAGGGUAGAAUUUUGUUCGGUUUGGAUUUAAUUUCUUGAAAAAUUCCUUGUUUACUUGUUUGAUUACAAUUCUCUCUGUUAUCUUUUUAAGAAGUAAAACUGCAAGGUGACUAGCAUGUUCUGUGAAUCUGCCAUUCCUAAAAAUUUUAUAAACACGAUAUUUUUCACUGAUAAUUGAUCGCUGCAAUAAAUAUAUAUUGUGAAAAUGCAUCCACAAUAAAUGGAAUUCCUCCAAAUGUCUUUGCCUCACUUAUUUUUAUGUACUAUAUUGAUUACAAGAGUUCUAUCUGAUGUAAUAAAGAUGAUGGUAUAGCAAAAUGCAUAUUUCA